GAGAUGGAAAAUGGUGGAGUGGCCAGCUUACCAUUCUCUUAAAUACAACCGUUGGGCACUAUUAUCUAAGGUCAUGAUGGCCCAUAACUGACGUGUCCCCAGCUAGACCCCCGUUUGACAAACAUUUGGCGGGGCACGCUGGACGUCUUGGGGAGUGUGCGGUGGCCUGGACAGGCGUGAGACAGGAAAGAGGACUUCUAAAUCAGCCAGCAAUCCAAAGGCCCUCCAUAAAUCCUCCAAAUGGGCUCGGGUGUGGGACGUAAAGCACACCUGCAAG
Molecule: long non-coding RNA, 277 nt
Organism: Fundulus heteroclitus (mummichog)
Lineage: Eukaryota; Metazoa; Chordata; Actinopteri; Cyprinodontiformes; Fundulidae
Exons: 4
Source: RefSeq, a predicted model, not a curated record